CAAAGAUUAAGCCAUGCAAGUGUCAGUUCAUGCCAAACUAAGGUGAAACCGCGAAAGGCUCAUUAAAUCAGUUAUAGUUUACUUGAUGGCAUGACGUUACCGUUACUUGGAUAACUGUGGCAAUUCUAGAGCUAAUACAUGCACUCGAGUCCCGACCGUUCGCGCGGAAGGGAUGCUUUUAUUAGAUCAAAACCAAUCGGGAAAUCGGGGUUCCGCUUGCGGAACAAACAAAACCCGACGUACCGUGCAAGUCUUGGUGACUCUGGAUAAAUUGUCGCUGAUCGCAAGGUCUCUCGCACCUGCGACGCAUCUUUCAAAUGUCUGACUUAUCAACUAUCGACGGUAUGCCACGUGCCUACCGUGGUGGUAACGGGUAACGGGGAAUCAGGGUUCGAUUCCGGAGAGGGAGCCUGAGAAACAGCUACCACAUCCAAGGAAGGCAGCAGGCGCGCAAAUUACCCACUCCCGGCACGGGGAGGUAGUGACGAAAAAUAACGAUGCAGAACUCUUUUCCGAGGCUCUGCAAUCGGAAUGAGAAGACCCUAAAUCAUUUACCGAGUAUCCAUUGGAGGGCAAGUCUGG
This 582-nucleotide ribosomal RNA is filed under the name Gliricola sp. 274. Its description in RNAcentral is "bacterial SSU rRNA". It matches the Rfam family "Eukaryotic small subunit ribosomal RNA", at positions 38 to 564 of the family's 1831-position model. The record is from RNAcentral. Lineage: Eukaryota; Metazoa; Arthropoda; Insecta; Psocodea; Gyropidae.